Molecule: unclassified non-coding RNA, 2893 nt
Filed under: Apis florea (little honeybee)
Lineage: Eukaryota; Metazoa; Arthropoda; Insecta; Hymenoptera; Apidae
Description: gATOR complex protein MIOS-B, transcript variant X3
Source: RNAcentral
UGAAACGUAUAGAAACUUUUGUUAUCUCUAUAAUUUAUUAUUAUCAUUAUUUAUCUGAAAUGUAAGUUACUAUUAAUCAAAAUGGUUAAAGAAAUGAAUAUAAAAGUGUCAGAUUUAAAUUGAAACAUUUAAUACAAAGAAAAUAUGUUCGAGAAAGAUUAAAGUAAUGCAUUUUACUUUUGUUAACAAAAUUUCAUAAAAAUACUACUAAAAUGAGUAGUAUUAAACUCGAUGUACAGUGGUCUCCAGUUCAUGCUAAUAAAUUUAUUACAUGGGGUACAGAAAUUUGUUUAUAUGAAGUUAUGCAAAUAAAAGAAAAUAAUAGACAAUUAUAUAAGAUUUCUGAUUCUACAGUUGCUCAUUUACUUGCAACGAAUACCAAUCAUCAUUAUGUUAAAUGUAUUGAUAUAUAUCCACAAUUGGAACCUGAUAUACUAUUAGCUGUUGGUCAAGCAAAUGGAAAAGUUGUUUUAACUACUUUUGCUCCAACAAUCUUUGAUUCUCAAGGUCUCAGUGGAAAAGAACUAGUUCCAAAACAUGCCAGACAGUGUAACGCAGUUGCUUGGAAUCCAAUAGAUACAAAUUUGAUUGUGUCUGGUUUAGAUAAACAUAGUAAAGAUCAUUCCAUUUUAUUAUGGGAUAUAAACAAGGGUUUACAUACUUCUGAAAGAAUACAUCAUCAUAAUACAGUACAGACAGAUUCAGUGAGACCUAUAACAGAAGUUGGUGUUUCUGAAACUGUACAUUCCAUUGCUUGGUUUAAAAAUGAACAAAAAUGUAUGGUAGUUGGCACUAAUAACAAACAAUUAAAAAUCAUUGAUUUUAGAGAUUCUGCAAAAGUAAUCAACACAACAGCUACUAAAGCAGUUUAUAAUGUAUCAGUGAAUCCACACAAUAAUUAUCAUUUACUUUCAAGUGUUGAUAAUCAAAUAACAAUUUGGGACACAAGAUGCUUUGAAAAACCUGUUUUAACAUUAUCGCAAAGUAGACAAAUUACGAAGGUUUUAUGGUGUCCAACUAGACACAAUCUUCUAGGUGCUUUACAAAAAGAUUCAGUGACACUACAUUUAUAUGACAUUCAACACUGUGGAAUUGGAGGAGGAGAAGAUACAGAACCUGGAGCAUUGGAAAGAACAGUUGCGCCACCUUGGCAUAGUCCUGUAAGUUUUUCGUGGCAUCCAACACAUGUGAAUAGAUUGUUGGCAAUAUCUCAACAAGGACUUACAGAUUAUACAGUUUGUGAAAGAAUUACAGUAAAUUGGUCAACACGGUCUCAUCUUGUUUGGAAUCAUGCUUCCAAAUCAUUUAAAUAUAUAUGUAGUAAUGAUAAUAUUUAUAAAGCUCUGAAUGAUAUUUCUAUUCUAACUAAAACACGUGCUACUUCAGAAUAUGGUUUACUUCCAGAGCUGGCUCAGAAUGGAGAAUUAGCAGAAAAUGAUACUCUUAAAAAUUUAUGGCAAUGGCUGUACUUAAGUCGCUAUUUGGUAGAAGAUGGUACUAUACCAUGUACAGAUAAUAAACAUCCAGGUGUUAGAACAGUUUUAAAGUUAGAUGGACAAGGAUCUAAUAAUGGUUUUUUAAAAUCGGAACUAAUUCAUCGUCCUUGGUCGGAUAUAGGAUCUAAUCAUACUGCAAAAAUUUAUAGAUCUCCAGACAGAGAUAAAGGAUUACUUUUAUGUGGUUGGAGAUUUGAUAAAGACACCAAUAGCCUUUAUGAUAAUUUAUUUUUAGAAAGAUUAGAAAGAGAAGGUGCAUAUCCAAGAGCAGCAGCAAUAGCAGUUUUUAAUUUAUGUUUACGGCAAGCAAUAGAAAUUCUAAAUCGAGGAGCUACUAAAAUGUCAAUGUCUACAAAUUUAAAUAUUGUUGCUAUGGCUUUAUCAGGAUUCUCCGAAGAUAGAAAUAGUAUGUGGAGAGAAUCAUGUUUAAAGUGUAGAUCUCAACUCUCAGAUCCUUAUUUGAGAGCAACUUUUGCUUUUUUAACAGCAGAUGAUUCAUAUGAAAAUGUUUUAAAUGAAAGUGGUAUGGCAGUUGAAGAUAGAGUAGCAUUUGCUCUUAUGUUUUUAUCAGAUAAUAAAUUAAGUGAAUAUUUAAAAAAAUUAACUCAAAAAUUGACUGAUGAAGGAAACUUAGCUGGUUUUCUUUUAACAGGUGCCAGUUUAGAAGGUAUACAAUUAUUAAAUCGAUAUUUAGAAAUUACUGGUGAUGUUCAAAGUUGUAGUUUGAUAGCUAUAAGAGCAUUUACACCAACAUUGCUCCAAGAGAAUCAAGUUCAAGUUUGGAUUACUAGUUAUAGAAAUUUAUUAAAUGCAUGGAAAAUGUGGACCCAAAGAGCUCAUUUUGAUAUUGCCAUGCGUUCUUCAACAAAUGAAAAACCUCCUCAACAGAUAUAUGUUUCUUGUAAUUUUUGUGGUAAAAGUAUAUCAGCUUUCAUGCAGGGUUUGAGUAGAGCAAGAGGACCUUUUGGUAGAUUAGGAAGUACACCCAAUAAAUUAAAGAUGUCUUCAUGUCCAAAUUGUAGAAAACCAUUACCACGAUGUGCAAUUUGUUUAAUGCAUAUGGGUACAGUGAGUGGAUUGCAAAUGACAACAUCUGGAGUUAGUAGAAGUGAUGAAUGUGAUAAUAAAUUGACAGAAUUCAGUAAUUGGUUUACAUGGUGUCAAACGUGUAGACAUGGUGGUCAUGCUGAUCAUAUUACACAUUGGUUUCGGUAAUAUACUUUAAAAUUAUGUACAUAUUUUUACUUUUUUGUAUACAUUUUAUCUUUUGUAACAAUAUCUCACUUUGUUUAUAUAGACAACAUUCAGAAUGUCCAGUGACUUCAUGUACAUGCAGAUGUUUUUCUUUAGAUGCAUCGUGUAAAAUAGCAUUUUAGGACAUUAUAUAUUUCUUGGAA